Molecule: ribosomal RNA, 493 nt
Filed under: uncultured bacterium
Lineage: Bacteria
Description: bacterial SSU rRNA
Rfam family: Bacterial small subunit ribosomal RNA
Source: RNAcentral
GAUGAACGCUAGCGGCAGGCUUAACACAUGCAAGUCGAGGGGUAUAGUAGCAAUACUAGAGACCGGCGCACGGGUGCGUAACGCGUAUGCAACCUACCUUUUACAGAGGGAUAGCCCAGAGAAAUUUGGAUUAAUACCUCAUAGUGUUAUUAGAUGGCAUCAUUUGAUAACUAAAGUUCCAACGGUAAAGAUGGGCAUGCGUCCUAUUAGCUAGAUGGUAAGGUAACGGCUUACCAUGGCUACGAUAGGUAGGGGUCCUGAGAGGAGAUCCCCCACACUGGUACUGAGACACGGACCAGACUCCUACGGGAGGCAGCAGUGAGGAAUAUUGGACAAUGGGCGCAAGCCUGAUCCAGCCAUGCCGCGUGCAGGAAGAAGCAUCUAUGGUGUGUAAACUGCUUUUUGUACGGGAAGAAACACUCCUACGUGUAGGAGCUUGACGGUACCGUAAGAAUAAGGAUCGGCUAAACUCCGUGCCAGCAGCCGCGGUAAU